GAUGAACGCUGGCGGCGUGCCUAAUACAUGCAAGUCGAGCGAACAGACGAGGAGCUUGCUCCUCUGACGUUAGCGGCGGACGGGUGAGUAACACGUGGAUAACCUACCUAUAAGACUGGGAUAACUUCGGGAAACCGGAGCUAAUACCGGAUAAUAUAUUGAACCGCAUGGUUCAAUAGUGAAAGACGGUUUUGCUGUCACUUAUAGAUGGAUCCGCGCCGCAUUAGCUAGUUGGUAAGGUAACGGCUUACCAAGGCAACGAUGCGUAGCCGACCUGAGAGGGUGGUGGCCCACACGGGAACUGGGACCGCGUCCAGACUCCUACGGGAGGCAGCAGGAGGAAAUUUUCCGCAAGGGGCGAAAGCCUGCCGGAGCAACGCCGCGUGAGUGAUGAAGGUCUUCGGAUCGUAAAACCCUGUUAUUGGGGAAGAAAAAAUUUGUAAGUAACUAUGCACGUUUUGACGGUACCUAACCAGAAAGCCCCGGCUAACUACGU
RNAcentral lists this ribosomal RNA (496 nucleotides) under uncultured bacterium. RNAcentral's name for it is "partial 16S ribosomal RNA". It matches the Rfam family "Bacterial small subunit ribosomal RNA", at positions 28 to 506 of the family's 1533-position model. The record is from RNAcentral.